GUGCUCUUGGUGCCCCCCCCAACAUGGCGGCGCCCAGGCCAGCACACAGCCGCGCGCGCGCCGCCUCCCCGCGCUCUGAUUGGCCGAGCGCUGCCCCGCGCCGGCCGCCGAUUGGUCGGGGCGCGGAUCACGUGGUGGGCCGGAAAGACGGCGCGGUUGCCGCGGCAACGGGGGCGGGGCUAAAGGGGCGGGGGGUCACGUGAGCGGCGCGCGGCCGGCGGCGACUUCCGGGAGAGAAACGGAACCGAACUGGGACAAACUGGGAGAGAACUGGGAGAGAAUUGGGCCAGGAUCCCGGCUGCUGUUUGGGUGUCCCGGCUGUUCCCGGCUGUUCCCGGUGCCGUCCCGGUGUCCCGGUGCUGUCCCGGUGCCCGCCGGUGCCGAUGCCGCUGCCGGUGACGCUCCAGUCCCGCCUGGCCAAGCGGGGGCUGCUCAAACACCUGGAGCCCGGUGAGGGGCGGGGCCGGGAAAAUGGGCGGGGCCGGGAGAAAUGGGCGGGGGCGGGGAAGUGGGCGGGGCCGGGAGAAAUGGGCGGG
Molecule: long non-coding RNA, 536 nt
Filed under: Lonchura striata (white-rumped munia)
Lineage: Eukaryota; Metazoa; Chordata; Aves; Passeriformes; Estrildidae
Description: domestica (Bengalese finch) lncRNA (ENSLSDG00000003235.1)
Source: RNAcentral